AAGAUACACGACGUCAUCGCCAGGCACCGAAGGAAGGGAGUACUCAGUUUUUGCUCCGCUUGUUGGAUGGUCGCUUGACUACCGUUUUUCUCAGGGAUCCACUUCCUCGCUCAAGAAUGUGCAGUCAUUGUCCUUUUCAGCUCACAUUCCAGCUGCUCGGUGUGGCCGCACAGUCUUCGGUCUCAGCCUACGAAGGGUCUGUGUCCCUUUUGUCAUUUUCUGUGACUGAUUGUCAUUAUUUGGCAUAUUUUUGUUACAGCGAGCCAUUUUUCUUUCCCGAAGAGAGUGUGAGUGUGUGUGUGUGUGUGUGUGUGUGUGUGUGUGUGUGUGUGUGUGUGUGUGUGUGUGUGUGUGUGUGUGUGUGUGUGUGUGUGUGUGUGUGUGUGUGUGUGUGUGUGUUUUUUGUGUAAUGUGCAUCAUACGUCACAUAUCGAUAUGUAUGUAUGUAAUAUGUACAAUUAUUGUACGUGUGUGUGUAUGUGUGUGUGUGUGUGUGUGUCAUGUGCAUAAUACGUCACAUCUCAAUACGUAUGUAUAUAACAUAGAUAUAGGUGUGAAUCACGAUUUAUAUAUGUGUGUGUGCGUGCCAUCACCACCAUUUAUAAUCUCCACUCGAGAGUUGCGAAGUCUGAAUGUAGCCUUCCCAAUUUCUGAAGCAUCUAUCUUCCCCACAUGGAACCACGAUUCAUGGCCCAAGCUGUCUCCUUAUCCAUGCUGCAUCCAACGGAGCCUUUUCUGGGACUGAAGCAUCGAGCUUCGCCACAAGUAACCAUAAUUCAUGGACCAAGCUGUCUCAUUAUCCACGCUGCAUCCAACGGAGACUUCUGUGGUACUGAAGCAUCGAUCUUCCCCACAACAAGGAAUCGCCACGAUCCAUGGACAAGCUGUCUCCUCGUCCAUUCUGCACCUCUGCCCUCCAUCCCCAAAGAGUGUGUUUCAUUCAGAGAAUGGAGCGUUCAGAUUACGACAACCUUACGGAUCAAUCGUUUUCACAAGAUGGCAGGUGAGAUUCGAAGCCCAAUUUAUUAUUUGUUGUUUAAAACAGAAUUAAAUCACUAUACAAGCAAUAAUUAUUGUAUUUUUUUUUUUUCGAACAGGUUAUCCCCAAUAAGGACAUCGUUGAUAACAGAUGUGGAAAAUGAGUUAUCUGAAUUACACGACGAGUGGAUGAAAAUGAACGACUUUCUUGAAGACAUUCAUUUGUUUCGAAAUGAACUGAACGAUAUUAUUGUUGACUAGAAAGAAUUACUCUCACGUCAUCUGACAUGGAAUGAAUAGAGUCCAAGGUGAGAAACACACGCAUAUAUGUGUGCGUAUAUGUGUUUGUGCAUGUGUAUGAGCGUGUGCACAUGUGCGUGUAUGUGUGUGCAUAUGCAUGUGUGUGUGUAAAUGUGUGUGCAUGUGUGUAAAUGUGUGUGCAUGUGUGUAUUUGUGUUUAUGCAUGUGUGUGUGUGUGUGUGUGUGUGUGUGUGUGUGUGUGUGUGUGUGUGUGUGUGUGUGUGUGUGUGUGUGUGUGUGUGUGUGUGUGUGUGUGUGUGUGUGUGUGUGUGUGUGUGUGUGUGUGUGUGUGUGAAAUGUGUGUGCAUGUGUGUAUUUGUGUUUAUGCAUGUGUGUGUGUCUCUCUGUCUCUGUCCUUGACUCAUUAUUAUUUUUAUUUUAUUUUUCAGUUCAAACGCACAACUUGAUCUUCUGGAGGAAUCUGACAUGACACUAUCUUCUGGAGGUAAAUAAAAUGUUAAAUUAAUUAUUUCAUUCAUAUUAUUAUUUCAUCAUCUUUAUAUGCUCUAAUGGGGUUCCCCUUGUUUUAAACAGAAUAUGAUGUACGAGUUUCAAAAUCACAAGACAUCUGACUGCUGGGAAAGAUCGUCCAUUCUCGCAAAUGAAUAUUUACCCAAAGAAGAAUGUUUAAUAUUUUCAAUCUUGAUUAAUUAUAUUUGCUUUGCUUUCAAUUAUCUAAUUCUUAAUUAUAAAAAAAGAAUAAAGGAAGUGCAAAGGAGGGGGGGUAGGUGCGCUCCCCCAACGACCCACCACCCCCCUCAUGCCACCCCCCUCCCCUCCC
RNAcentral lists this long non-coding RNA (2059 nucleotides) under Eptatretus burgeri (inshore hagfish). RNAcentral's name for it is "lncRNA (ENSEBUG00000017105.1)". The record is from RNAcentral. Lineage: Eukaryota; Metazoa; Chordata; Myxini; Myxiniformes; Myxinidae.